CUGCGAGGGAACGCUUAAUUGAACCUUAUCAUCUACCAAUCUUUGAAUCUGUUUUGUUUUCCCACCACGACGCAUUUUUGUGAAGAAAAAGAGAGGAAAAAACCUGACUUUGUAAGCAUCAUUGCCACCUUUUGAAGGGAUUGGAUGAUGAUGCAUGCAUGGGAAGGGGAGGGGCGGCGCAUGCACCGCUUGGGGCUUUUUGGGGCUUUGGGGCUGUGGUGGUGGGGCUUGCAUGCUACAUGUGACCCUGGCACUGCUGUCUAUGAUGAGCGUCCAUAGCGCC
Molecule: unclassified non-coding RNA, 283 nt
Filed under: uncultured Eimeria
Lineage: Eukaryota; Apicomplexa; Conoidasida; Eucoccidiorida; Eimeriidae
Description: sequence contains ITS1
Source: RNAcentral